UGGUGAGUAACGCGUGAGGAACCUGCCUUUCGGAGGGGGACAACAGUUGGAAACGACUGCUAAUACCGCAUGAUACAUUUGGGCCGCAUGGUCUGAAUGUCAAAGAUUUAUCGCCGAAAGAUGGCCUCGCGUCUGAUUAGCUAGUUGGUGGGGUAACGGCCCACCAAGCGACGAUCAGUAGCCGGACUGAGAGGUUGGCCGGCCACAUUGGGACUGAGAUACGGCCCAGACUCCUACGGAAGGCAGCAG
This 249-nucleotide ribosomal RNA is filed under the name uncultured bacterium. Its description in RNAcentral is "partial 16S ribosomal RNA". It matches the Rfam family "Bacterial small subunit ribosomal RNA", at positions 104 to 354 of the family's 1533-position model. The record is from RNAcentral.